This is a non-coding RNA of Parelaphostrongylus tenuis, 74 nucleotides long. NCBI's taxonomy places the organism in Eukaryota, Metazoa, Nematoda, Chromadorea, Rhabditida, Metastrongylidae. The record is from the annotation of a GenBank genome assembly.
GCCUCAGUGGUCGUAGUGGUAGAGCACGCGUCCCCGGAUAGGAUGAAACGUGGGUUCGAAUUCCGCCUGAGGCC